Long non-coding RNA from Scomber japonicus (chub mackerel), 349 nucleotides. RefSeq lists it as uncharacterized. The transcript has 3 exons. The record is from RefSeq and is a predicted model, not a curated record. Lineage: Eukaryota; Metazoa; Chordata; Actinopteri; Scombriformes; Scombridae.
AAGCAGUUAGCUGACCUGCUACAACAGACAACGAGCACUGACCCAACAGCAAUUAGAUGCCUUGUCCUGAGAGGACUUCCAGUCAUUCUUGGGGAUGAUGCAUCUAUGUUCUUUAAGAGCAGUUUGGCUCUUAAUGAGGGAGAUUCCAUAAACAUUCCAGUGGGAAUCCUCUGCUAUGAGGACACCAGCGCUGCAAACCCAGCAAGCUCAGCAUUGCCACAACUAAACCCCUCAAGAGUGGGGAUCAUCCUAGAGGGCAGCCUUGUCAUGGAUGUACUCACCAACCUACCUCAAGCAAUGUGCCUCUUGUUUGGUUUUACCUAUGCACUCCACCUGCAGUACCCAAAGU